AUUGCUUCUUGGCCUUUUAGCUAAGACCAAGUGUAGUAUCUGCUCUUAUCAGUUCUAAGAAAUAAAAAAAAAUUGGUUCAUUCAUUAUCAAAAAGUAAUCUUUAAACCUGGAAACUAU
This 118-nucleotide small nuclear RNA is filed under the name Homo sapiens (human). Its description in RNAcentral is "U2 spliceosomal RNA". It matches the Rfam family "U2 spliceosomal RNA". Rfam says of the family: U2 is a small nuclear RNA (snRNA) component of the spliceosome (involved in pre-mRNA splicing). Complementary binding between U2 snRNA (in an area lying towards the 5' end but 3' to hairpin I) and the branchpoint sequence (BPS) of the intron results the bulging out of an unpaired adenosine, on the BPS, which initiates a nucleophilic attack at the intronic 5' splice site, thus starting the first of two transesterification reactions that mediate splicing. The record is from Rfam by way of RNAcentral. Lineage: Eukaryota; Metazoa; Chordata; Mammalia; Primates; Hominidae.